Molecule: long non-coding RNA, 566 nt
Filed under: Rhinolophus ferrumequinum (greater horseshoe bat)
Lineage: Eukaryota; Metazoa; Chordata; Mammalia; Chiroptera; Rhinolophidae
Description: lncRNA (ENSRFEG00010003893.1)
Source: RNAcentral
CGAGGGCCGAGGGCGCGCCAGUGCCCGGCGCGGGGCGCCUGCCCGCUUGCAGCCGCCUGUGGGGACCGCACGCAGCUGGCCACCUCCGGGGUGCUGGCGUGGGUCCCUCGCGGUCCGGCGGCGACUGUAAAUAGAGCCUGGAUGUUGUUUACAUGAAGGAUCCGGCGGGAGGAGUCUGCGAGGAGGAGGCGGAGGAGGAGGGAGGGAGGAGAGAGGAAGACCGGAGUCCCCGCGGCGACGGCGGUCAGGGCUACCCGCACACCAGCAGCCACCUUUUUGGAGAAGGACCACACCUGUGCUUAUUCCGGCUUUGGAGGAGAGAAGUAGGAGUAGAAGCUCUGAGAACGGUGGACUCUGCAGAAAAGAGAGGUGUAGAUGUGUUUCUGGAACAGCCCACAGCUCAAGAAUUGGAGCAUCACCACUUGCUGAGCUGUGACCCCCACUUUUUCUUCUUCCCUACAUCUCGAACCAGAAGGGAAUCUUUUAGUCUUCCACUUCAUGGGGAGCCUAUGGAGGAAGUCAUGCAAUCACCUGGAAAAGAUGCCACCAGCCAACACAGUGACUGA